AUGACUCCUGGUGGCAGAGCUCCUGGUUGGCUGUCAAGCAUCACCCCAUGGGAAUCAGAGAGAUUUAUGAGCUUAAAGAGCCCCGUUCAUCAUGAACUAGACUCAGAGCAAAACAAAGAUACAGCAUACAGAUUGAAGACAUGA
This 144-nucleotide long non-coding RNA is filed under the name Capra hircus (goat). Its description in RNAcentral is "lncRNA (ENSCHIG00000002800.1)". Lineage: Eukaryota; Metazoa; Chordata; Mammalia; Artiodactyla; Bovidae. The record is from RNAcentral.